AAUAAUUUUUUGUAGUACUGGACGUACUUUUGAUCACCUGGUUGGUGAUAAUAGAAGGCCUGGCUCUUUUGGGCAUAUGGGCGUUCGCCCUCUACAUAACAUUCCAGCCCAUUAUGUUGGGCUUGCCCAUUUUUUUUUAACUACCCUCUGAUGGGGUUAUACAGAUAUCUCCGAAAUAUAAGAAAAAUAAAUUACAUCAUUCAAAAAUAAAUCCGACUCUCUGCUCAAUGGGUCACGCCCAUAAUUCU
This 248-nucleotide long non-coding RNA is filed under the name Malus domestica (apple). RNAcentral's name for it is "long non-coding RNA (MDOM_LNC014752)". The record is from RNAcentral. Lineage: Eukaryota; Viridiplantae; Streptophyta; Magnoliopsida; Rosales; Rosaceae.